AACGAACGCUGGCGGCGGGCCUCAUACAUGCAAGUCGAGCGCAUGUGCCGCAAGGUACAUGAGCGGCGUACGGGUGAGUAACGGGUGGAUAAUCUGCCUCCGGGUGGGGGAUAACGGCUGGAAACGGCCGCUAAUACCGCAUACGGUGGCCGGCCUUCGGGUUGGUCGAAGAAAGGGGCGUUCACAGCCUCGCCGGGAGAUGAGUCCGCCUCCGAUUAGCUAGUUGGUAGGGUAAUGGCCUACCAAGGCUUUUGAUCGGUAGCCGAACUGAGAGGUUGAUCGGCCACACUGGAACUGAGACACGGUCCAGGACACCUACGGGUGGCAGCAGUAGGGAGUAUUGCGCAAUGGGCGAAAGCCUGACGCAGCCACGCCGCGUGGAUGAUGAA
Molecule: ribosomal RNA, 389 nt
Filed under: uncultured bacterium
Lineage: Bacteria
Description: bacterial SSU rRNA
Rfam family: Bacterial small subunit ribosomal RNA
Source: RNAcentral